Molecule: ribosomal RNA, 254 nt
Filed under: uncultured bacterium
Lineage: Bacteria
Description: partial 16S ribosomal RNA
Rfam family: Bacterial small subunit ribosomal RNA
Source: RNAcentral
UACGAGGGGGGGCGAGCGUUGUUCGGAAUUAUUGGGCGUAAAGCGCGCGCAGGCGGUUCUUUAAGUCUGAUGUGAAAGCCCACGGCUCAACCGUGGAGGGUCAUUGGAAACUGGAGAACUUGAGUACAGAAGAGGAAAGCGGAAUUCCACGUGUAGCGGUGAAAUGCGUAGAGAUGUGGAGGAACACCAGUGGCGAAGGCGGCUUUCUGGUCUGUAACUGACGCUGAGGCGCGAAAGCGUGGGGAGCAAACAGG